RNAcentral lists this ribosomal RNA (292 nucleotides) under uncultured bacterium. RNAcentral describes it as "partial 16S ribosomal RNA". It matches the Rfam family "Bacterial small subunit ribosomal RNA", at positions 505 to 796 of the family's 1533-position model. The record is from RNAcentral.
GUGCCAGCAGCCGCGGUAAUACGUAGGGGGCAAGCGUUGUCCGGAUUUACUGGGUGUAAAGGGCGCGCAGGCGGGAUAGCAAGUCAGAGGUGAAAUCCUACAGCUUAACUGUAGAACUGCCUUUGAUACUGUUAUUCUUGAGUUCGGGAGAGAGAGACGGAAUUCCAGGUGUAGUGGUGAAAUACGUAGAUAUCUGGAAGAACACCAGUUGCGAAGGCGGUCUCUUGGUCCGAUACUGACGCUGAGGCGCGAAAGCGUGGGGAGCAAACAGGAUUAGAAACCCGCGUAGUCC